UACGGGGGGGGCAAGCGUUGUUCGGAAUUACUGGGCGUAAAGGGCGCGUAGGCGGCCACCGCAAGUCGACUGUGAAAUCUCCGGGCUUAACCCGGAAAGGUCAGCCGAUACUGCGGGGCUAGAGUGCAGAAGGGGCAACUGGAAUUCUCGGUGUAGCGGUGAAAUGCGUAGAUAUCGAGAGGAACACCUGCGGCGAAGGCGGGUUGCUGGGCUGACACUGACGCUGAUGCGCGAAAGCUAGGGGAGCGAACGGG
RNAcentral lists this ribosomal RNA (254 nucleotides) under uncultured bacterium. RNAcentral describes it as "partial 16S ribosomal RNA". It matches the Rfam family "Bacterial small subunit ribosomal RNA", at positions 524 to 776 of the family's 1533-position model. The record is from RNAcentral.